CCUACGGGAGGCUGCAGUCGAGAAUCAUUCACAAUGGGGGAAACCCUGAUGGUGCGACGCCGCGUGAGGGAAUGAAGGUCUUCGGAUUGUAAACUCCUGUCAUGUGGGAGCAAAUUAAAAAGAUAGUACCACAAGAGGAAGAGACGGCUAACUCUGUGCCAGCAGCCGCGGUAAUACAGAGGUCUUAAGCGUUGUUCGGAAUCCCUGGGCUUAAAGCGUGCGUAGAAUGUUUCGUAAGUCGGGUGUGAAAGGCGCGGGCUCAACCCGCGGACGGCACAUGAUACUGCGAGACUAGAGUAAAGUAGGGGGAACCGGAAUUCGCGGUGUAGCGGUGAAAUGCGUAGAUAUCGAGAAGAACACUCGUGGCGAAGGCGGGUUCCUAGACAGUAACUGACGCUGAUGCACGAAGGCCAGGGGAGCGAAAGGGAUUAGAUACCCCUGUAGUC
Molecule: ribosomal RNA, 446 nt
Filed under: uncultured bacterium
Lineage: Bacteria
Description: partial 16S ribosomal RNA
Rfam family: Bacterial small subunit ribosomal RNA
Source: RNAcentral